Molecule: non-coding RNA, 115 nt
Organism: Caenorhabditis elegans
Lineage: Eukaryota; Metazoa; Nematoda; Chromadorea; Rhabditida; Rhabditidae
Source: Ensembl
UCAUUAUAACUGAAGUGAAUCCAUGUGGAGUUAUACCUGUCAGGUUUUACCACCACUUUUCCUCGUUUCACUGUAGGAGAGGACCGGAGACUGCUUACCAAAUCACGAAAACUGA